This 47-nucleotide non-coding RNA is filed under the name Trypanosoma brucei brucei. Lineage: Eukaryota; Euglenozoa; Kinetoplastea; Trypanosomatida; Trypanosomatidae. The record is from RNAcentral.
AACGAGACAAAGCAUCAGUUAAAUUGUUAGAGAUUAAGUUAUAUGAU